AGAGUUUGAUCGUGGCUCAGAUUGAACGCUAGCGGCAUGCCUUACACAUGCAAGUCGAACGGCAGCGCGGACUUCGGUCUGGCGGCGAGUGGCGAACGGGUGAGUAAUGCAUCGGAACGUGCCCAGUAGCGGGGGAUAACUACGCGAAAGCGUAGCUAAUACCGCAUACGCCCUACGGGGGAAAGGGGGGGAUCGCAAGACCUCUCACUAUUGGAGCGGCCGAUGUCGGAUUAGCUAGUUGGUGGGGUAAAGGCCUACCAAGGCGACGAUCCGUAGCUGGUUUGAGAGGACGACCAGCCACACUGGGACUGAGACACGGCCCAGACUCCUACGGGAGGCAGCAGUGGGGAAUUUUGGACAAUGGGGGCAACCCUGAUCCAGCCAUGCCGCGUGUGCGAAGAAGGCCUUCGGGUUGUAAAGCACUUUUGGCAGGAAAGAAACGGCGCCGGAUAAUACCUGGCGUAACUGACGGUACCUGCAGAAUAAGCACCGGCUAACUACGUGCCAGCAGCCGCGGUAAUACGUAGGGUGCAAGCGUUAAUCGGAAUUACUGGGCGUAAAGCGUGCGCAGGCGGUUCGGAAAGAAAGAUGUGAAAUCCCAGGGCUCAACCUUGGAACUGCAUUUUUAACUCCCGAACUAGAGUAUGUCAGAGGGGGGUGGAAUUCCACGUGUAGCAGUGAAAUGCGUAGAUAUGUGGAGGAACACCGAUGGCGAAGGCAGCCCCCUGGGAUAAUACUGACGCUCAUGCACGAAAGCGUGGGGAGCAAACAGGAUUAGAUACCCUGGUAGUCCACGCCCUAAACGAUGUCAACUAGCUGUUGGGUUCUUCGGAGCUUGGUAGCGCAGCUAACGCGUGAAGUUGACCGCCUGGGGAGUACGGUCGCAAGAUUAAAACUCAAAGGAAUUGACGGGGACCCGCACAAGCGGUGGAUGAUGUGGAUUAAUUCGAUGCAACGCGAAAAACCUUACCUACCCUUGACAUGUCUGGAAUCCUGAAGAGAUUUAGGAGUGCUCGAAAGAGAACCGGAACACAGGUGCUGCAUGGCCGUCGUCAGCUCGUGUCGUGAGAUGUUGGGUUAAGUCCCGCAACGAGCGCAACCCUUGUCAUUAGUUGCUACGAAAGGGCACUCUAAUGAGACUGCCGGUGACAAACCGGAGGAAGGUGGGGAUGACGUCAGGUCCUCAUGGCCCUUAUGGGUAGGGCUUCACACGUCAUACAAUGGUCGGGACAGAGGGCAGCCAACCCGCGAGGGGGAGCCAAUCCCAGAAACCCGAUCGUAGUCCGGAUUGCAGUCUGCAACUCGACUGCAUGAAGUCGGAAUCGCUAGUAAUCGCGGAUCAGCAUGUCGCGGUGAAUACGUUCCCGGGUCUUGUACACACCGCCCGUCACACCAUGGGAGUGGGUUCUACCAGAAGUAGGUAGCCUAACCGUAAGGAGGGCGCUUACCACGGUAGGGUUCAUGACUGGGGUGAAGUCGUAACAAGGUAGCCGUAG
Molecule: ribosomal RNA, 1496 nt
Filed under: uncultured Pigmentiphaga sp.
Lineage: Bacteria; Pseudomonadati; Pseudomonadota; Betaproteobacteria; Burkholderiales; Alcaligenaceae
Description: bacterial SSU rRNA
Rfam family: Bacterial small subunit ribosomal RNA
Source: RNAcentral